UAUAAGCGCUACGCGCCGUAGGUAAAUCAGAAACACAGGUGGAUACAACUUGAGUUUUGACAAGUAUACUAAAAAAUGCGUCUGUCAUAUCUAUCGGUGGCUUUUGCCAUGAUCUUUGUUAUGGCAAUUAUGCAUGUAGAAGCAAAACCUCUUUCUGAAGGAGAUGGAAUGAGUGAGGCCGAUCCAUUUCUUGGUAUCGUCGGGAAAGUGCUAGGAAAAGUUGCUAAAGCAGUGGCUCCUAGCCUCGUGGGAUAUGCUGCAGAUAAAAUAGGAAAAUAAGAAAUGUGUACAGGAAACUAUAAUUUAGUUGUACAUAAAUAAUAAAAUUAUUUAAAGGAGAAAUACAAGUUGCAUUUGUAUAUCAAUUGUAUUUUCGUUUCUUUCUGAAAUAUAAAAAGAAAAUAAAAUCCUAUAUAUUUGCAUUAUAA
Long non-coding RNA from Vollenhovia emeryi, 428 nucleotides. RefSeq lists it as uncharacterized. The record is from RefSeq and is a predicted model, not a curated record. NCBI's taxonomy places the organism in Eukaryota, Metazoa, Arthropoda, Insecta, Hymenoptera, Formicidae. The transcript has 3 exons.